AUGGAGGUGCAGGCCCAAGUACUUCGAAUCAUCAACAAGAAAUCCAAGAAAGAACAGCGAAGGAAAAACAUGACAAGAAAAGUGUUUUCUCGACUCGAGAUGUUAGAAGGUGCUAAAUCAAUAGGUGCCGGAGCUGCUACAAUUUCUUUAGACGGAGCUGCUGUCAGUAUUGGAAUCGUCCUCAGUUCUUUGAUUCAUUCCGUGGCGCGAAAUCCAUCAUUGGCUAAACAAUCAUUUGGUUAUCCCAUUUUGGGCUUUGCUCUCACUGAAGCUAUUGCAUUGUUUGCCCCAAUGAUGGCCUUUCUGAUCACAUUCAUUUUCCGAUCGCAUAAAAAGUCAUGA
Molecule: ribosomal RNA, 342 nt
Filed under: Triticum aestivum (bread wheat)
Lineage: Eukaryota; Viridiplantae; Streptophyta; Magnoliopsida; Poales; Poaceae
Description: partial small subunit ribosomal RNA
Source: RNAcentral